GGGCUCCGGCUUCCCCUUCGGCAGCUUUGGGAUGAUGUGGGUGCGACAGGCGCCCGGGAAGGGGCUGGAGUGGGUCGGGGGCAUCAACGGCCCGGGUGCCACCUACUACGCGCCCUCCUUUCAGGGCCGUGCCACCAUCUCCAGGGCUGAUGCCCAGAGCUCGGUCACGCUGCAGCUCAGCAGCCUCGAGUUGGGGGACACGGGCACCUACUACUGUGCCAAAGCCGAUGCCGGGCAGUACGGGCAUGUUGCUGGUGGCCCCGUCCCC
Merops nubicus (carmine bee-eater) is the source of this 268-nucleotide non-coding RNA. NCBI's taxonomy places the organism in Eukaryota, Metazoa, Chordata, Aves, Coraciiformes, Meropidae. The record is from the annotation of a RefSeq genome assembly.